UUUCCUGACUGCAAGGGCACCUCAACAGUUUCCAGUCCCGUGACAGAUGUGUCCCUACUCACUACGGUUUUGUUUAGAACAGCCCGGGGGCACAUGUGACGUAUGUUUAUAAUGUCUCUUUGAUGACAUAGAGGGUGCAUUUAAUGUUUUCAACGGAUGAUUUACUAUAACCUGCCCUGUAAGCUGAUUACUGUACGGCUAUGCCCCAUAUUGCCUCAUGAACUGUGUGUUGAAUUACCGGUUAAUUAGGGAGCUAUUGAAAGAGAAUCCUUUGGUACACUGCUGCCUUUUCUUCUCUUGACUGAGUGCAUUCGAUUUAAUUACCCAGAUCAAACUCUCAGUAGCCUUUACCUUUUGUGCUGCCACAGGUGACCUCAGUUCCCGGCCCGGUCGCCCAGGAGCGAGUCAAGAGGAGAGGAGAGCCAGCAGCAGCAGCACCCAGGCCUACACAACAACGGGUCAUUGCCCGUCGUAUCCCACAGUGACUGCUUUACCCAGCGGAACGCCCUCUUCAACCAGGAGAUCCUCCAGGCCGAGGCAUGGAUCAAGAGGAGGCUGCAGGAGCUACAGGGAGGCCCCGCUGGCCAGUGCUGCCCCCUGCAGGGCAGCGAGGAGGCCUCCACCACGCUGCACAGAGACCUCAAGGUCUUCGAGAACACGCCUGACUCAGCUCAACCAGACGGGCGAGCAGUUGAUCUGCAAGCUGAACCCCUCGGCGGAGCUGGCGAGGAGACAGCUGAGCCAGCUCAGAGAGCACUGGCAGACGCUGAGACAGACGGCGGCCGAUCAGGCGAGGGCGCCGGGUGGCGUUGGCGUGAGGAGCUUGCAGGAGUUUCAACAGGAAAGUCGAGCGACUCGAGGCCUGGAUCAGAGACAAGGUGAAUCACGGGAUACGUGUCUCGCUCUUAAUUUUUUUCAUUUGCGCUUUAUCGCUCUUACCUUCACCGUUGAACCUCAGUGCCGUUCCUCAGAAACUCUGGAAAAUAACAUAUGCCUCAGCUUUAAAACACACACCCCAUCAUACGCUAGACGGGCUUGUGCUUAUAUCUCCACACCUGUCUGCCUAUCUAUAUUAUGUUGAUGAUAAGUGUGAGGGAGUUACACUGCCUCGUAUGCCGCUGGCUCAGAGUGGCUGACAGUUAAUCCCUGGGCGAGUAGAGAAGUAAUGCAAGUUUGUGUAAGAUCUUUCCACCAAGCUAUUCAGUCAACCCCCCCCCCCCCCCCCCAAGCGAUUAACCAACAACCCCUCGAGGAAAGCUCAUAUUCUCAAUCAAGGUUCAUAAAGGCUUUAUUUAUCACUGCAGCAGCAUCGACUAAAAAGGGCAGGAUAACUGCAAAAAAAGCUGGUUCUUUUUCUAUAAAGUCCUUUCUCUCAUCUCCCAUUAUUCUGCACGAAUGUCGAUGCGUUUGUGUGUGUGCUUGUGCGUCGUGCGUGUGGUGUGU
Molecule: long non-coding RNA, 1443 nt
Filed under: Gadus morhua (Atlantic cod)
Lineage: Eukaryota; Metazoa; Chordata; Actinopteri; Gadiformes; Gadidae
Description: lncRNA (ENSGMOG00000028833.1)
Source: RNAcentral